This 301-nucleotide ribosomal RNA is filed under the name uncultured bacterium. RNAcentral describes it as "partial 16S ribosomal RNA". It matches the Rfam family "Bacterial small subunit ribosomal RNA", at positions 509 to 809 of the family's 1533-position model. The record is from RNAcentral.
CAGUCGCCGCGGUAAUACGGAGGGUCCGAGCGUUAAUCGGAAUUACUGGGCGUAAAGCGUGCGCAGGCGGUUUGUUAAGCGAGAUGUGAAAGCCCUGGGCUCAACCUAGGAAUAGCAUUUCGAACUGGCGAACUAGAGUCUUGUAGAGGGGGGUAGAAUUCCAGGUGUAGCGGUGAAAUGCGUAGAGAUCUGGAGGAAUACCGGUGGCGAAGGCGGCCCCCUGGACAAAGACUGACGCUCAUGCACGAAAGCGUGGGGAGCAAACAGGAUUAGAUACCCCAGUAGUCCCUGUCUCUUAUAA